This 465-nucleotide ribosomal RNA is filed under the name uncultured bacterium. Its description in RNAcentral is "bacterial SSU rRNA". It matches the Rfam family "Bacterial small subunit ribosomal RNA", at positions 338 to 795 of the family's 1533-position model. The record is from RNAcentral.
CCUACGGGGGGCAGCAGUGGGGAAUAUUGGACAAUGGGCGAAAGCCUGAUCCAGCCAUGCCGCGUGUGUGAAGAAGGUCUUCGGAUUGUAAAGCACUUUAAGUUGGGAGGAAGGGCAGUAAAUUAAUACUUUGCUGUUUUGACGUUACCGACAGAAUAAGCACCGGCUAACUCUGUGCCAGCAGCCGCGGUAAUACAGAGGGUGCAAGCGUUAAUCGGAAUUACUGGGCGUAAAGCGCGCGUAGGUGGUUAGUUAAGUUGGAUGUGAAAUCCCCGGGCUCAACCUGGGAACUGCAUUCAAAACUGACUGACUAGAGUAUGGUAGAGGGUGGUGGAAUUUCCUGUGUAGCGGUGAAAUGCGUAGAUAUAGGAAGGAACACCAGUGGCGAAGGCGACCACCUGGACUGAUACUGACACUGAGGUGCGAAAGCGUGGGGAGCAAACAGGAUUAGAUACCCGGGUAGUC